UGCUGCAUCUUGAGGAGAUCGGGGGAUUUGGUCUCGCAAAGGCGAUUGUCCGCAACUCGGUGCGGCAUCACGCACUUUGGAGGCUCGCCAGCACGCUUAUAGGGCGCCAGC
Molecule: non-coding RNA, 111 nt
Filed under: Thraustochytrium sp. LLF1b
Lineage: Eukaryota; Bigyra; Thraustochytrida; Thraustochytriidae
Source: RNAcentral